Molecule: long non-coding RNA, 215 nt
Filed under: Linum usitatissimum (flax)
Lineage: Eukaryota; Viridiplantae; Streptophyta; Magnoliopsida; Malpighiales; Linaceae
Description: long non-coding RNA (LUSI_LNC000168)
Source: RNAcentral
UAAUUGGAUGGCCAUGUUGACGAAAACAGUGACGACCAGUAUCGCAAAGGCUAUAAUGUUCAUCAUGAUCUCCUUGUUCUUCACCGUCCCUAGCGACGGCAUGGAGUUUGCAAUCACCACACAGAGCAAUACCCCGCUGCUGAGCUUGGAGAGCUGGUCGACUCGACUAGGCAUGGGUGUGUUGAGAUCCACGGAGAAUUUGACUGCAACUGUUA